GUAUUGUAGGAGACAACAAAGAAUAGGUGCACCUUCAAAAAAAAAGUCAACAAGUUGCAUACCAUUGCAGCAGAGAUGUCUGAUUUUCCCAUCUGCAUAUCUGGAAUCGCUUUAUCACUUGGUUAGUCUCAUUAGUAAGCACUGAAGACUUCUGGGUAUUGAAGACAGAUGAAUUAAAUCCUCUUUGAAUGUUCAUGAUCUAAGGUAGAUGUAUUGGAUUCUCUGGAUGUGCAUAAGGACACGAAGAUGAUAUCACCAGGCUACCUCAACUGAAUUACAGCCUUGUAAUCAAUCUCUCUGUCUGUUACUUUGUCUAUGACUACUGCAUGCAUACUGCAUAUCCAUGCUCUGUAUACAAAGAUGCACCGAAAAUAGGAGACAGAAAACAAGCAAUCCUUUGUCAAAGGAGAGUGCAUCCCAUUGGCACUAAUUACCUAUUCCAAAUAUAAAAAUAAAUGGAGAAAUAUAAAAAUGCAGCCAAGUUCAAAGUAUACUUCCAGUCAUGUUCUAAUGAAGUCAGAGUUUUGUUAUUGUGUUCAAUGGCAGCAGGAUGAAGUAUGUAUAUAAAUAUUAAUAUCAGUUUGGGGAAGAGAAGGGAGAGGAUUGCAACAUUUUGCAAAAGUCCUCCUCUUCCCUCCCUACCCGUUUUAAUUAAGAUUUUGUCAAAUUUUUGAAAUUUGAUGUUGCCUAGUUCUAUAACUGGUCAUAAAAACAACCAUUUAGAAAUACCGUAGUUAAAAUUUAGGGGGCGGGGGUGUUUGAAAUUUAACAUUCAGCAAGCUCUAAUAUAGAACUUUAAAGCUGAUUAUUUGAUACAAAUAUUCAUGAUGACUAUCAUAGCUUGUUGACUGACAGAUUGUUUUGCAAAACAAUGUGAAUUCCUGUAAAUGAUUGUAGUCUGCCAUGAGAAUUUUCUCAUGCUAAAGGGGACUAAAGAUGAAGUUCCUUGUCAUAGAGACUUGUCCCUAGUUGUCCCAAACUUUAUAUCAGGUUGUGAGGCCAGAAUCUAAACUCUGGAGUCUGUUGUGGGUCCAUUCUGGAGACAGAAGGACAGAGCAGCAGUCUGUUAAGCCUUAGAUUUUUUUUC
Non-coding RNA from Chrysemys picta bellii (western painted turtle), 1087 nucleotides. The record is from RefSeq and is a predicted model, not a curated record. Lineage: Eukaryota; Metazoa; Chordata; Testudines; Emydidae.